This 404-nucleotide ribosomal RNA is filed under the name uncultured bacterium. Its description in RNAcentral is "bacterial SSU rRNA". It matches the Rfam family "Bacterial small subunit ribosomal RNA", at positions 355 to 776 of the family's 1533-position model. The record is from RNAcentral.
UAGGGAAUAUUGGACAAUGGGCGAAAGCCUAAUCCAGCAAUACCGCGUGAAUGAUGAAGGUCUUAGGAUUGUAAAGUUCUUUCGGUGGGGAAGAUAAUGACGGUACCCACAGAAGAAGCACCGGCUAACUUCGUGCCAGCAGCCGCGGUAAUACGAAGGGUGCUAGCGUUAUUCGGAAUCACUGGGCGUAAAGAGUGUAAAGGCUGUUAGAUAAGUUAGUUAUGAAAUCCCUGAGCUCAACUUAGGAACUAUAAUUAAAACUAUCUAGCUAGAGUAUAGUAGGCGAUGGCGGAAUUCUUAGUGUAGGGGUGAAAUCCGUAGAUAUUAAGAGGAACACCGGUGGUGAAGACGGCUAUCUUGACUAUAACUGACGCUACAACACGAAGGCAUGGGUAGCAAACAGG